CGGAGGAUGCAAGCGUUAUCCGGAUUUAUUGGGUUUAAAGGGUGCGCAGGUGGUUUAAUAAGUCAGUGGUGAAAGUCUGUCGCUUAACGGUAGGAUUGCCAUUGAUACUGUUAGACUUGAAUAUGGGUGAGGUAAGUGGAAUGUGUAGUGUAGCGGUGAAAUGCAUAGAUAUUACACAGAACACCGAUUGCGAAGGCAGCUUACUAAUCCAUCAUUGACGCUGAGGCACGAAAGCGUGGGGAGUCAAACAGGAUUA
Molecule: ribosomal RNA, 256 nt
Filed under: uncultured prokaryote
Description: partial 16S ribosomal RNA
Rfam family: Bacterial small subunit ribosomal RNA
Source: RNAcentral